RNAcentral lists this ribosomal RNA (1401 nucleotides) under metagenome. RNAcentral's name for it is "bacterial SSU rRNA". It matches the Rfam family "Bacterial small subunit ribosomal RNA". The record is from RNAcentral.
UAACACAUGCAAGUCGAACGAACCUUCGGGUUAGUGGCGGACGGGUGAGUAACGCGUGAGAAUCUGCCCUCAGGAGGGGGAUAACGGCUGGAAACGGCCGCUAAUACCCCAUAUGCCGAGAGGUGAAAUGAAUUUCGCCUGAGGAUGAGCUCGCGUCUGAUUAGCUAGUUGGUAAGGUAAGAGCUUACCAAGGCAUCGAUCAGUAGCUGGUCUGAGAGGAUGAUCAGCCACACUGGGACUGAGACACGGCCCAGACUCCUACGGGAGGCAGCAGUGGGGAAUUUUCCGCAAUGGGCGAAAGCCUGACGGAGCAACGCCGCGUGAGGGAUGAAGGCCUCUGGGCUGUAAACCUCUUUUCUCAAGGAAGAAGACAUGACGGUACUUGAGGAAUAAGCCACGGCUAAUUCCGUGCCAGCAGCCGCGGUAAUACGGGAGUGGCAAGCGUUAUCCGGAAUUAUUGGGCGUAAAGCGUCCGCAGGCGGCCUUUUAAGUCUGUUGUUAAAGCGUGGAGCUCAACUCCAUUUCGGCAAUGGAAACUGGAAGGCUGAGUGUGGUAGGGGCAGAGGGAAUUCCCGGUGUAGCGGUGAAAUGCGUAGAUAUCGGGAAGAACACCAGUGGCGAAGGCGCUCUGCUGGGCCAUAACUGACGCUCAUGGACGAAAGCCAGGGGAGCGAAAGGGAUUAGAUACCCCUGUAGUCCUGGCCGUAAACGAUGAACACUAGGUGUCGGGGGAAUCGACCCCCUCGGUGUCGUAGCCAACGCGUUAAGUGUUCCGCCUGGGGAGUACGCACGCAAGUGUGAAACUCAAAGGAAUUGACGGGGGCCCGCACAAGCGGUGGAGUAUGUGGUUUAAUUCGAUGCAACGCGAAGAACCUUACCAGGGUUUGACAUCCUGCGAAUCCCUUGGAAACUUGGGAGUGCCUUCGGGAGCGCAGAGACAGGUGGUGCAUGGCUGUCGUCAGCUCGUGUCGUGAGAUGUUGGGUUAAGUCCCGCAACGAGCGCAACCCACGUCUUUAGUUGCCAGCAUUUAGUUGGGCACUCUAGAGAGACCGCCGGUGAUAAACCGGAGGAAGGUGUGGAUGACGUCAAGUCAUCAUGCCCCUUACAUCCUGGGCUACACACGUACUACAAUGCUACGGACAAAGGGCAGCAAACUCGCGAGAGCUAGCAAAUCCCAUAAACCGUGGCUCAGUUCAGAUCGUAGGCUGCAACUCGCCUACGUGAAGGAGGAAUCGCUAGUAAUCGCAGGUCAGCAUACUGCGGUGAAUACGUUCCCGGGCCUUGUACACACCGCCCGUCACACCAUGGAAGUUGGCCACGCCCGAAGCCGUUACUCCAACCCUUGUGGAGGAGGACGUCGAAGGUGGGGCUGAUGACUGGGGUGAAGUCGAAACAAGGUA